Molecule: RNA transcript, 2119 nt
Organism: Zea mays
Lineage: Eukaryota; Viridiplantae; Streptophyta; Magnoliopsida; Poales; Poaceae
Gene name: putative CBL-interacting protein kinase family protein
Exons: 16
Source: RefSeq, marked provisional
AUGGCCCCACGUCGAAAAAGGAGCGGGCCGUACCAAGGCUGCAAGGCACCUACUCCACGAACGAAACACACCUCUCUUGCUGUCCUGCGGUCCACUUCUUCAAGUUAUCCCAGGCUCUCAACUCCCAGUAGAAAACUUCACCGGCUGCCUGCCUGCCCACAGAAAUUGCGCCCGGCCGCCCCCCAUUCACCUUCAAAAAAGGAGCCAGGCUUCCCAUCAACGAGGGUGUCGGCCAUCUGAGCAGCUCCCCUGCCCCUCGCAGCGGCUACUCUACAGGUCUAGCGACUCUUUCGCCAUCCAUAGAGGGAGGAGGCGCGGCGGAGAUGGUGGGCGGUGGCGGCGGCGGGCCGCUGCGGCGGGUGGGCAAGUACGAGGUGGGACGCACCAUCGAGGAAGGCACCUUCGCCAAGGUCAAGUUCGCGCAGAACACCGAGACCGGGGAAAGCGUCGCCAUGAAGGUGCUCGACCGCUCCUCCAUCCUCAAGAACAAGAUGGCCGAACAGAUUAAGAGAGAAAUAUCCAUAAUGAAGCUUGUCAGGCAUCCCAAUGUCGUUAGGCUACACGAGGUUUUGGCAAGCCGGAAGAAGAUAUUUAUAAUUCUGGAGUUCAUCACUGGCGGCGAGCUAUUCGAUAAAAUUAUUCGUCAUGGGAGACUCAGUGAAGCAGAUGCACGCAGAUACUUUCAGCAACUUAUUGAUGGUGUUGAUUUUUGUCACAAGAAAGGAGUCUACCAUCGAGACUUAAAGCCUGAAAAUCUCCUCCUUGAUUCCCAAGGCAAUCUUAAAAUUUCAGACUUUGGACUGAGUGCAUGGCCUGCUCAGGGAUCUUUCCUUCUACGUACAACCUGUGGGACUCCGAACUAUGUUGCCCCAGAGGUUCUCAGUCAUAAGGGAUAUAAUGGCGCACUUGCUGAUACAUGGUCAUGUGGAGUAAUUUUAUAUGUAUUGUUAGCAGGUUAUCUUCCAUUUGAUGAAGUGGACCUGACUACCCUUUAUGGAAAGAUUGAGAGUGCAGAAUAUUCAUUCCCAGCCUGGUUUUCAGGUGGUGCGAAAUCACUGAUUCGUAGAAUUCUUGACCCAAAUCCAGAGACACGAAUCAGGAUAGAAGAGAUCAGAAGUGAUGAAUGGUUUCAGAAAAAUUAUGAACCUAUCAAAGAAAUAGAAAAUGAGGAAGUCAAUCUCGAUGAUGUCAAUGCAGCUUUUGAUGAUCCUGAGGACGAUAAUGAGGAUGCUUUUGAAGAUGAAACAGGUCCUCUAACACUUAAUGCAUUCGACCUAAUCAUUCUUUCGCAAGGAUUGAAUCUUGCAGCGCUCUUUGACCGCAGACAGGACUGUGACAAGCUUCAAAAUAGAUUCUUAUCACGCAAUCCAGCAAAGGUUAUCUUGUCAAGCAUGGAGGUUGUUGCGCAAUCAAUGGGAUUUAAGACACACAUUCGCAAUUAUAAGAUGAGGGUGGAAGGUCUAAAUGCCGACAAGACUAGCCAUCUCUCAGUUAUGGUUGAAGUUUUCGAAGUUGCUCCAUCAAUCUUCAUGGUAGAACUACAAAGAGCAGCAGGAGAUACUUCAGAGUAUAACACGAUACAUCCAAAGGGACAAAUUUACAUUGGACAGUAAUGCCUGUAAUUGGGUGAUGCUGAUGCUUGCUGUACAGAUUAACUUCUAAUAAAAUUUUCGUAAAUAACUACUGCAGCAAAUUAGAUGAUAUCAUCUGGAAAUUUCCAACUGAGAAGGGAAAAUCGAGGAUACCCCGGUUAUCAAAGUCUCAUUCAUAAUCUAGUGCUGUGUGUUAUCAAUUACUAUGGACUUAAGUGGAUAUAUUUGCAGAGUGUAUCGCAAUUGGAUUAUGAUAUUCUAAGUGUAGCUCUUCGAGUAGUAUAUGUUUGUAUAUUCAGAGUCCCCAUGUACAAAGAGGCCGUUUUAAUUGAGGUUUCCGUACCUCGAUUCCCUGUGCAAAGUUUUCAUCGAUGUUUUAGACUACACAUCUGUAUAUUUUGUCGAGAGCAUCAGUUUCUUAGACACCACCUAUGUAUCAUGCGUUUGUUGCCAUCUAGUGUCAUUUUGUAAGAUCUAACUUGUGAUAUACUUGGAUUGAGUGGUAUGGUUGAAAAGAGUGAAAGUCC